CAAUAGCAUAUAUUAACGUUGUUGCAGUUGAAAAGCUCGUAGUUGAACUUUUGGUAGGAGCGACCUGGCCUUGGGCGCAUGCCCUUGUUUGCCGUGUGUCGUAUCUGGCCAUCCUUUUCUUCUUUUUUCGGAGGAAUCUUUUACUGUGAGUAAACUGGAGUGCUCAAAACAAGACGUUUGUUUGGUACAUUAAAGCAUGGAAUAAUAAGAUAGGACCUGGUUACUAUUUUGUUGGUUUGCAUAGCUAGGUAAUGAUUAACAGGGACAGUUGGGGGUAUUCGUAUUUAAUUGUCAGAGGUGAAAUUCUUGGAUUUAUGAAAGACGAACGACUGCGAAAGCAUUUACCAAGGAUGUUUUCAUUAA
Molecule: ribosomal RNA, 363 nt
Filed under: uncultured eukaryote
Lineage: Eukaryota
Description: partial 18S ribosomal RNA
Rfam family: Eukaryotic small subunit ribosomal RNA
Source: RNAcentral